Molecule: long non-coding RNA, 1732 nt
Organism: Bubalus bubalis (water buffalo)
Lineage: Eukaryota; Metazoa; Chordata; Mammalia; Artiodactyla; Bovidae
Exons: 4
Source: RefSeq, a predicted model, not a curated record
UUGGUGAUGGACAGGGAGGCCUGGUGUGCUGUGAUUCAUGGGGUCGCAAAGAGUUGGACUCAACUGAGCGACUGAACUGAACUGAACUGAUCUUUCUAUUUUCAAACUUUCCACCAGAGGGCGUGCCAAACACUGUCCUGCAGCUUGAAAAAACUGCUGUCCUGUCUUGCUCCCAAAUUCUCGAUUUAUAAACAUGCUCUAAAAAUCCUCAGCACUGAUAUCUGAGAAAUGUGAUGUAGUGACUUUCCAUUCAUUUCCCCUCCCCCACUGAGAGGUCCUAUACUUAAAAUAAAAGCGCUCAACUGGAGACUGUUCAUUUAAUUUAAGUCAGAUGUGCAAUCUCACAGCCCUGAGGCCGCCUUUGAAAAUCAGCUGCAAAGGGAAGAGCUGGGGAGCAACCUUUUCUUGUACAAGCAGCAAGGGAUGCUCUGUUUGUGGAGACUUCAACACAAUAAUACAGACUAAAAGUCACUUCAUUUUUUUUAGAUCACCCUGUGCCAGUAAUUCCAAAUAAUGUCAGUGAUAAAAUCCUCCUCCUUCCACACACACACACACAAAUCUCUCAUUGUUUCAAGUUCUAAACAACUUCUGGCAGUUUAUCCAGAGAACUCCCUGCUGUGCCGAAGUUCCUGCUCAGUGGGUUCAGCUUCAUGCAUUUUCAGUCCAGGGCCUAUUUGGGAAGAAUUCAGAGCAACUGACAAACAGCAAUUUAGGCCUGGAGCUGGAAGGAUCGGUCGGAGGGAAGACGAGUUGAAAGUCCCACGUGACUUCAGUUUUGGGGUGAGGAAACUGAAGCCCAGCGUCUGACCCUCACCAGCUAAUGCUGUGAAAUGACCAGUCCCCACCUGCCCCUGGGCGGCAGACAGCCUAAGGGUAUGUUUCCAGGAACCGUGUAGAAAUGAGCUCCUUAUCCCCUCAUUUUUUGUUUUUAUAAACUAUUUUAAAUUGUAAAAUGCAUAUAACAUAGAGUUUGCCAAAUGAACUGUUUUCAAGUGUACAAUGUUGUGGCGUUAAGUGCAUUCACGUGGUUGUACAUCCAUCAUCACCAUCCAUCUCCAGAACUCUGAGCGUGCAAAACUGAAGCCCUGUACCCAUGUAACUCCCCAUCCUUUCCUCCCCUCUGCCCCCAAAUCUUAUAGGGUGGAUACUGUCAUUCCCCAGGUCUCAACUUCAUAGAGAAGAAAACCGAGCUCCCCAGCCAUUCUGACCAGUGGCAGGUGGUACCCUAUUGUAGUUUUGAUUUGCAUUUCUCUAGUGAUUAUCGGCCAUGAGCAUCUCUUCAUGUGCCUGUUGGCCAUCUGUAUGUCGUCUUUGAAGAAAUGUCUAUUUAGAUCUUAUGCCCAUUUUUUGAUUGGGCUGUUUGUCUUUUGUUAUCGAGUUGUAUGAACUAUUGGUAUAUUUUAGAAAUUAAGCCCUGUUGGCCACAUCAUUUGCAAAUAUUGAUAGUUCCUCUGAAUCCAUAAAUUAUCUUUUUGUUUUGUUUAUAAUCUCACCUAGUAACCAUUUGGGGAAAAACCAAAGAUAGUGGGCAUUCCAAAAAAAAAAAAAGGUUCUCAACUGCAAUUAAAACUAAACUAAAAAGUAGAGGAAUGGAGUUUCUAGGGCACUGAAACUAUUCUGUAUAAUACAAUAAUGAUGGACAUAUGCCCAAUAAAGGACAGAAAUGGUAGGGACCUAACAGAAGCAGAAGAUAUUAAGAAGAGGUGGCAAGAAUACACAGAAGAACUAUACA